ACGGAAGGCAGCCGUGGGGAAUAUUGGUCAAUGGGCGGAAGCCUGAACCAGCCAAGUCGCGUGCGGGACGAAGGCCCUACGGGUCGUAAACCGCUUUUGUACGGGGAUAAAACCACCCACGCGUGGGUGCUUGUAGGUACCGUAAGAAUAAGGAUCGGCUAACUCCGUGCCAGCAGCCGCGGUAAUACGGAGGAUCCGAGCGUUAUCCGGAUUUAUUGGGUUUAAAGGGUGCGCAGGCGGGCUGCUAAGUCUCCGGUGAAAUGUCAGGGCUCAAACUUGGCACUGCCGGGGAUACUGGCGGCCUUGAGAGUGGCGGAGGUAUCCGGAAGGUGUGGUGUAGCGGUGAAAUGCAUAGAUAUCACACAGAACACCGAUUGCGAAGGCAGGAUACCAUACCAUAUCUGACGCUCAGGCACGAAAGCGUGGGGAUCGAACAGGAUGAGAUACCCUGGUA
RNAcentral lists this ribosomal RNA (454 nucleotides) under uncultured Porphyromonadaceae bacterium. RNAcentral describes it as "bacterial SSU rRNA". It matches the Rfam family "Bacterial small subunit ribosomal RNA", at positions 341 to 792 of the family's 1533-position model. Lineage: Bacteria; Pseudomonadati; Bacteroidota; Bacteroidia; Bacteroidales; Porphyromonadaceae. The record is from RNAcentral.